GGUGACUUAAUGGUAGAGUGCUUGCCUAUCAUGCAUGAAGUCCUGGGUUCAAUUCCUCAGUACCA
Molecule: non-coding RNA, 65 nt
Organism: Dipodomys ordii (Ord's kangaroo rat)
Lineage: Eukaryota; Metazoa; Chordata; Mammalia; Rodentia; Heteromyidae
Source: Rfam